RNAcentral lists this ribosomal RNA (440 nucleotides) under uncultured bacterium. RNAcentral's name for it is "partial 16S ribosomal RNA". It matches the Rfam family "Bacterial small subunit ribosomal RNA", at positions 338 to 795 of the family's 1533-position model. The record is from RNAcentral.
CCUACGGGUGGCAGCAGUGGGGAAUAUUGCACAAUGGGGGAAACCCUGAUGCAGCGACGCCGCGUGGGGGAUGAAGGAUUUAGGAUUGUAAACUCCUUUUGUGAGGGAAGAUAAUGACGGUAUCUCACGAAUAAGCCCCGGCUAACUCCGUGCCAGCAGCCGCGGUAAUACGUAGGGUGCAAGCGUUACUCGGAAUCACUGGGCGUAAAGAGUGCGCAGGCGGGCGUGUAAGUCGGAUGUGAAAUCCUGGAGCUUAACUCCAGAACUGCAUUUGAAACUAUGAGUCUAGAGUGUGGGAGAGGUAGGCGGAAUUCUUGGUGUAGGGGUAAAAUGCGUAGAUAUCAAGAGGAAUACUCAUUGCGAAGGCGACCUACUGGAACAUUACUGACGCUCAGGCACGAAAGCGUGGGGAGCAAACAGGAUUAGAUACCCGAGUAGUC